GUUCCUACGGGAGGCAGCAGUGGGGAAUAUUGCACAAUGGGGGGAACCCUGAUGCAGCGACGCCGCGUGAGCGAAGAAGGUUUUCGAAUCGUAAAGCUCUGUCCUAUGAGAAGAUAAUGACGGUAUCAUAGGAGGAAGCCCCGGCUAAAUACGUGCCAGCAGCCGCGGUAAUACGUAUGGGGCGAGCGUUGUCCGGAAUUAUUGGGCGUAAAGGGUACGUAGGCGGGUUUUUAAGUCAGGUGUGAAAGCGU
This 251-nucleotide ribosomal RNA is filed under the name uncultured bacterium. RNAcentral's name for it is "partial 16S ribosomal RNA". It matches the Rfam family "Bacterial small subunit ribosomal RNA", at positions 335 to 603 of the family's 1533-position model. The record is from RNAcentral.